Molecule: non-coding RNA, 76 nt
Organism: Novosphingobium barchaimii
Lineage: Bacteria; Pseudomonadati; Pseudomonadota; Alphaproteobacteria; Sphingomonadales; Sphingomonadaceae
Source: Rfam
AGAGCAGGCCUUUCAGGCAUCCUCUCCUAAAACUUCAUGGGGCUGGUCUUUGGACCAGCCCUUUUUUUGUGCGUUG